Long non-coding RNA from Ostrinia nubilalis (European corn borer), 1384 nucleotides. RefSeq lists it as uncharacterized. The transcript is spliced from 4 exons. The record is from RefSeq and is a predicted model, not a curated record. Lineage: Eukaryota; Metazoa; Arthropoda; Insecta; Lepidoptera; Crambidae.
UUGUUAUGUGUUUUUUCUUUAAACCUGGUAUUGGCCGAUUCAACCACAGAAAAAGAAUAUUAGCCAUAACCAUAAAAGUUGAAGUUCAAAUGUCAAUGUCAUUUAGUUUCGCACAGUGAUAAAUUCCAGUGACAUGCAAUUUUUGUAAUGGCAAAAUAUUAGUAAGAAACUGCAAACAAAUGCAAAUGUGCAGUCGAUGUGUGGAAUGCGACAACAUUAUACUCGAUAAUUUCAAUUAUUGCGAGUGUUGUGGCUUAGAAACAAUUAGGCAGUUAAGAAUAAACAAGGCUCGGGCACUAUCAAACCUUUUUCCUAAAAAGCAAAAAGCUGCUUCUGCUGCAUCACAAGAUUUAUUUGAUGACUUUCAGGUUGAUAACGGAGAGUUGACGCUAAUCGAGGAUUCAUGAUGCUUCUUCGGACAACAAGAAAAAACAGCUACUGUCAGUCAGCAGUGAUGAUGCUUCUUCGGACAAAAAGGAAAAACAGCUGCUGUCAGUCAGCAGUGAUUUUAUUUCUUUAGAAGAAGAAGAGAAAGAAAACAUAUCAAAUGGCGGGCAGACCCCCGAAAAAACAUUUAUCCAUGGACAGUGGCAACCACGAAUAUCUCAGUCAGCGGCUGAUAAAGUAAUUGCAAGAAUGUAUAAUUAUUCCUUUUCUGAUCGGGAACGAUAUUAUCUCUGGCUAUUACUUCUUCACGUCAAAGGGCCGACUUGCUUCAGAGAUGUUAGAACUUAUUAAUAUGAAAAUAUUAUUUACACAUCAUUUCGAGAAGCUGCUCAAGCAAGGGGGCAGCUUUUUGACGAUCAAGAAUGGGAAAGAUGUUUGGAUGAAGCAAUUGGUUUCAAACUUCCUCGGCAAUUACGACAGCUGUUUGCGUUAAUUUGCGUGUUUUGUGAAGUAACUGAUCCUAAUGCUCUUUGGGAAAAAUUUGCAUCACAUUUUAUCGAAGACUUUACAAGAUCCCGCCCUGAAAUAUUAUCCAAACAGUUGGCUUUACAAGAAAUUGAUGAAACAUUAAAACUCCACGGAAAGAGACUAACAGAUUUCGGACUUCCGGAGCCAGAUAUUGAUGAAAAUAGUAUUUUCUUAUCUGAUCCCGUUUCUGACUAUUAAUAAGAGUUAUUUACAUAACCUAUAUUAACGAUUGAAUUUGAUUGUUUUGUUAAUUUGUCUUAGUUUAUUUUGAAUGUUGAUUUAAAAUAAAAAUAAUUUGUGUAAAAACAUUUGCAGUUUUUAUUUACCAUAUUUAUUAAACACAACUAACGAAGCUAUAUGAAUCUAUAUUUAAUAUUCUUUGAGAACCGAUGACUACAGAAACAUCUAUCUACAUUUUGCACCUAGAAUUGUGUAUUAUGAGUCAAAUUUCACCCGAGCGAAGCCGGGU